GACGAACGCUGGCGGCGUGCCUAACACAUGCAAGUCGAGCGAAGCACUCUACCUGAUUUCUUCGGGAUGAAGGUUUAGUGACUGAGCGGCGGACGGGUGAGUAACGCGUGGGUAACCUGCCUCAUACAGGGGGAUAACAGUUAGAAAUGACUGCUAAUACCGCAUAAGACCACAGCACCGCAUGGUGCAGGGGUAAAAACUCCGAUGGUAUGAGAUGGACCCGCGUCUGAUUAGCUAGUUGGUGGGGUAACGGCCUACCAAGGCAACGAUCAGUAGCCGACCUGAGAGGGUGACCGGCCACAUUGGGACUGAGACACGGCCCAA
RNAcentral lists this ribosomal RNA (324 nucleotides) under uncultured bacterium. Its description in RNAcentral is "bacterial SSU rRNA". It matches the Rfam family "Bacterial small subunit ribosomal RNA", at positions 28 to 334 of the family's 1533-position model. The record is from RNAcentral.